CCAGCCGCCGUCGCAGCGGUCGUAGCCCAGCAGCUUCCACGCCGCGUACAUCUGACCCACCUUGGCUAUCUGGCCGCCAUCUUGUUGACACGCCCGCCACGCCUCGUCGUACGUCAGCUUGCUGGGAUGGAUGAGGCCGGCCCCUCCCUGGAAAAAGUUUGGACACCCCCGUUCUAGAAUGUUCCACUCCUUUUUUGUUCCAUGACCUCCAUGCAGCCCACCUGCUGCCAUCUUUGUCUCUCAUCACCUGCAGGAUGCUUCCAUUUUCUAAUAAAUAUAACUCUCAUCCCA
Nerophis lumbriciformis (worm pipefish) is the source of this 291-nucleotide long non-coding RNA. RefSeq lists it as uncharacterized. The record is from RefSeq and is a predicted model, not a curated record. Lineage: Eukaryota; Metazoa; Chordata; Actinopteri; Syngnathiformes; Syngnathidae.